AUGCCUUAUAUUUUAUUUAAAAAUGUUAAAUUGCAAGUUUAAAGAUGUCAUUACUAAGGCUUA
This 63-nucleotide transfer RNA is filed under the name Ornithodoros costalis. RNAcentral describes it as "tRNA-Cys". The record is from RNAcentral. Lineage: Eukaryota; Metazoa; Arthropoda; Arachnida; Ixodida; Argasidae.